This 253-nucleotide ribosomal RNA is filed under the name uncultured bacterium. RNAcentral's name for it is "partial 16S ribosomal RNA". It matches the Rfam family "Bacterial small subunit ribosomal RNA", at positions 524 to 776 of the family's 1533-position model. The record is from RNAcentral.
UACGGAGGGUGCAAGCGUUAAUCGGAAUUACUGGGCGUAAAGCGUGCGUAGGCGGUUUUUUAAGUCAGAUGUGAAAUCCCCGGGCUCAACCUGGGAACUGCAUCUGAUACUGGAAGACUAGAGUGUGGGAGAGGAGAGUGGAAUUUCCGGUGUAGCGGUGAAAUGCAUAGAGAUCGGAAGGAACAUCAGUGGCGAAGGCGACUCUCUGGACCAACACUGACGAUGAGGCACGAAAGCGUGGGUAGCAAACAGG